UACAGAGGUCCCAAGCGUUGUUCGGAUUUACUGGGCGUAAAGGGUGCGUAGGCGGUCGGGUAAGUCUGAUGUGAAAUCUCCGAGCUUAACUCGGAAAUGGCAUUGGAUACUAUUCGGCUAGAGAGUUGGAGGGGGGACUGGAAUACUUGGUGUAGCAGUGAAAUGCGUAGAUAUCAAGUGGAACACCAGUGGCGAAGGCGAGUCCCUGGACAACUUCUGACGCUGAGGCACGAAAGCUAGGGGAGCAAACAGG
RNAcentral lists this ribosomal RNA (253 nucleotides) under uncultured bacterium. Its description in RNAcentral is "partial 16S ribosomal RNA". It matches the Rfam family "Bacterial small subunit ribosomal RNA", at positions 524 to 776 of the family's 1533-position model. The record is from RNAcentral.